AGCUUCAGAAUAAUUUUCUAUCAGAAGCAAUGUCAUUGUUUAAAAAUCUGCUGACAACUUUGUCCCAAACACUGUAAAGUCAUGUGCCACUCCCUUUUCUCGUUUCCAGCUCAGCUCUAAAAAAUUAUGAAAGCUGAAAUCUGUCAUGUUCAAUCAGAGAGCAGCACGUUGACAAGGGCGGUGCAUCCUGGGAAGCUGUGGAAGCUGCCCUAUACUGCAGCACUCUUUAGCUUCUUCCACCUUAGUGCAUGUGCCAACCAGCUUGGGCUCUUUGCUGAAGAUCCUGCGGAGCAGGAAAAUGUUUUCUUCUGAUUGUCAUCCUAUACUGUGAUGUCCAGACUUCUGUGGUUGGAAAACCAUGGUAACAUCAGUCAGUCCUCUCACAUUAUACAAGGGACACUGUGACCUGCUUUGACCAAUGGAUGGAGUUAAUACAAGACCAAAUGUAAAGCCUGAUUGGAAAGAAGUACCUGAGAGACCUUCUGUGCCACAGACAAUUUUUCUAGAUGAGAGACCUUUUUUUAUUACAGAGAAGUAUCAAGGGAGUACAAACACCUCUCUGAAAAACACAAGUUAUUUUGGCAA
This is a long non-coding RNA of Manacus vitellinus (golden-collared manakin), 585 nucleotides long. RefSeq lists it as uncharacterized. The record is from RefSeq and is a predicted model, not a curated record. Lineage: Eukaryota; Metazoa; Chordata; Aves; Passeriformes; Pipridae. The transcript has 3 exons.